RNAcentral lists this ribosomal RNA (384 nucleotides) under uncultured bacterium. RNAcentral's name for it is "bacterial SSU rRNA". It matches the Rfam family "Bacterial small subunit ribosomal RNA", at positions 28 to 410 of the family's 1533-position model. The record is from RNAcentral.
GAUGAACGCUAGCGGCAGGCUUAAUACAUGCAAGUCGAGGGGCAGCAUGGGUAGCAAUACCUGAUGGCGACCGGCAAACGGGUGCGGAACACGUACGCAACCUUCCCAUAACUGGUGAAUAGCCCUCCGAAAGGAGGAUUAAUACACCGUAACAUAAUAGAGUGGCAUCACUUUAUAUUAUAGGCUUCGGCCGGUUUUGGAUGGGCGUGCGCCUGAUUAGGUAGUUGGCGGGGUAACGGCCCACCAAGCCUACGAUCAGUAACUGGUGUGAGAGCACGACCAGUCACACGGGCACUGAGACACGGGCCCGAUCCUACGGGAGGCAGCAGUAAGGAUAUUGGUCAAUGGACGAAAGUCUGAACCAGCCAUGCCGCGUGGAGGAUG